RNAcentral lists this ribosomal RNA (240 nucleotides) under uncultured Thauera sp. Its description in RNAcentral is "partial 16S ribosomal RNA". It matches the Rfam family "Bacterial small subunit ribosomal RNA", at positions 1141 to 1382 of the family's 1533-position model. Lineage: Bacteria; Pseudomonadati; Pseudomonadota; Betaproteobacteria; Rhodocyclales; Zoogloeaceae. The record is from RNAcentral.
UAAUGAGACUGCCGGUGACAAACCGGAGGAAGGUGGGGAUGACGUCAAGUCCUCAUGGCCCUUAUGGUAGGGCUUCACACGUCAUACAAUGGUCGGUACAGAGGUUGCCAAGCCGCGAGGUGGAGCCAAUCCCUUAAAGCCGAUCGUAGUCCGGAUCGUAGUCUGCAACUCGACUACGUGAAGUCGGAAUCGCUAGUAAUCGCAGAUCAGCAUGCUGCGGUGAAUACGUUCCCGGGUCUU